AAAUUGAAGAGUUUGAUCAUGGCUCAGAUUGAACGCUGGCGGCAGGCCUAACACAUGCAAGUCGAACGGUAACAGGAAGCAGCUUGCUGCUUUGCUGACGAGUGGCGGACGGGUGAGUAAUGUCUGGGAAACUGCCUGAUGGAGGGGGAUAACUACUGGAAACGGUAGCUAAUACCGCAUAACGUCGCAAGACCAAAGAGGGGGACCUUCGGGCCUCUUGCCAUCGGAUGUGCCCAGAUGGGAUUAGCUUGUUGGUGGGGUAACGGCUCACCAAGGCGACGAUCCCUAGCUGGUCUGAGAGGAUGACCAGCCACACUGGAACUGAGACACGGUCCAGACUCCUACGGGAGGCAGCAGUGGGGAAUAUUGCACAAUGGGCGCAAGCCUGAUGCAGCCAUGCCGCGUGUAUGAAGAAGGCCUUCGGGUUGUAAAGUACUUUCAGCGGGGAGGAAGGGAGUAAAGUUAAUACCUUUACUCAUUGACGUUACCCGCAGAAGAAGCACCGGCUAACUCCGUGCCAGCAGCCGCGGUAAUACGGAGGGUGCAAGCGUUAAUCGGAAUUACUGGGCGUAAAGCGCACGCAGGCGGUUUGUUAAGUCAGAUGUGAAAUCCC
RNAcentral lists this ribosomal RNA (613 nucleotides) under Escherichia coli. RNAcentral describes it as "bacterial SSU rRNA". It matches the Rfam family "Bacterial small subunit ribosomal RNA", at positions 1 to 603 of the family's 1533-position model. The record is from RNAcentral. Lineage: Bacteria; Pseudomonadati; Pseudomonadota; Gammaproteobacteria; Enterobacterales; Enterobacteriaceae.